This is a non-coding RNA of Heterocephalus glaber (naked mole-rat), 2411 nucleotides long. The record is from RefSeq and is a predicted model, not a curated record. NCBI's taxonomy places the organism in Eukaryota, Metazoa, Chordata, Mammalia, Rodentia, Bathyergidae.
UGGAUGUUUUUCCUUUUCCAAACCCUACACUCAGGUGCAGACAUCCGCAGGUGGUCAGCUGGCCUUUCCCAGCCCAGCCCCUGAAUGCCUCCUCCCAGCAGUGGGCUGGACAGCAUCUGUGCCCGAAAGGAAGUUUUACGCCCCCACCCUGGGCAAUUGGCCCUACUUGCCAAAGGAGCCCCUGCCACAGGCUGAUCUAGAAGAGCCUACUGAUAGGAACCAGGCAGCAUGAAUGGCCACAUGCACCGAGGACACGGUACCAUCUGUUCCAGAAGCCCACGGAUUUGUUCUCCUCAACGUCAGGCACUGCAUGUCUAGGCUCUGCACAUACAGCAGAUCUUGCCGGGCUCUGCACCUGAGUCGGGGCUGGCUGAGGUCACCAGGAGACCUGCCCUGCACCUGCUCAGACUACCGCCUGUGGCUCCCUGAGCCUCUCCAAUGAUGGUGAGUGUGGCCUUCUUCCCAGGGAAAACUUUCUCAAAACAAGCCCUGCCCACAGAAGUUGGAAAAGACUGGCAUUUCCUGAGAAUCCCCUGGGAUCUGCUGGUGGGUCCGAGGACACUGGUAUCAGAGACUGAGGAUGUGACCGUCAUUACCAGGCUGUGUGCACACAGACUUUUCUGCCUGAAUUUUGCAGGCCCCACGGACAGUAAUGACAAAUGCUAUGAUGGAAAAGAACUGGGAGAAGUGAACCUCACUUGGGAAAGAAAAAGGCUUCCUAAGAAACAGUGGGAAGCCAGAGGGAUUCCGAGCUGGGCAGUGGUGUGGUCAGCGGUGGUAAAAGACUCUGGCACGGGACAGGGAUGGCCCGAGUCUUAGCUACUUUCUCUCUGCGGAGAACACCAGCCACAAGUGAAAGGCGGAGAGGCUUAUUUCAGCUCCCAGUUUGUAAAGAUUUCGGCCCACCGUGCGGUGGCUCCAAGGCAGAGGGGCACGGUGGAAGGGCCUGGAGGAGGAGAGCCGCUGACGGGUGGGGAGGGAGGGAAGGGACCAACACGAGCCCGCCAGGUCACGCCCCGUGACGCACCUCUUGCGACCAGCUCCUCGAAGACUACCCCACCCAAGACCCAGUCCCCUCCCGAAGCCCCAGCUGUGAGCUCGCGCGGCUGUGGAGGUACACCUCGGCCUAACCGGAGCACCGGGCAAGGAACAAGCGCUGUGGCAGGGAGGCUGGCGGCUGCACGGUCAGAGGCUAAGAGGAGGUGACGGGGCUCAGUGGCGAAAUGACCGGAAGUUUAUUUGGAACCCAGAACAGACAACGGAGGCGACAGGACAGAAGGUGACAGCCAGGGAAGGCUCUGGGAUUCCGCCACUGAACUGGAGGACCACAUCCGUGCGGAGGAUGCCGAUCUGUUCCAACCCUUCACCCCCAGCCCAGCUGUCCACUGGCUCAGCUCACCGGUUCGGUUCCUUUUUCCCUCGUGACACAGAACUGCUCUGGCGUCAGUUUCUUCUGCCACUCAGCCUCGGUGAGAGUCAGCUCACGCUUCAGAAAAGACCCUGGAUUGUUAAGUAGGAAAUCUGUGUUAUUAAAAAAAAAAAAAAAAAGCACAACGGACUCUCCUUCCCUGGCCUUUCUCCCAAGUGCACCAUCUUCCGGCGGAAUAAUCCUAUCCUUCUUCUCUCCGCCACACUUCAUUCUUCACAGGAACCUGAAGCCUCAGUUUCCACCAGGUCCCUCCUACUCCAGCAGACGAUGCCACUUGGGCGGAACCAAAACUGUCACCGGGGAAAUCUGUUUCCUGCUUCCUGACCACCACAUAUCUGCGCCUGUUCACAUCCUUCCUCCUGCACUGCUGCAGUGAAACGAUGACCACCCCUUCUGCUUCUGUGCUGUUGUUCUUCAGGAUCACAUCUCCUUUCGCCUCUUCAAGGACCAGGACCCAGUGGCAGUUCCUCCUUGCCACCCGCAUCUUGAUGUGCUGGGUCUCUCCGAGGGAGAAGACCAACCAUUCAGCCUUACACGAGACACUUAAGCUGUUCUCCACUUAACAGCUCCAGCUUCUAGGACAUGAGUGAACAUCCUCGUGUUGUACUUGAUCCUAGAGGAAAAGCAUUCAUUCUUCCACGAUUAAGUUUCAAAGUAGCUAUGUUUUUCAAGGAUACCUAUCAGAUUGAGGAAAUUCUCAUCUAUUUGGUUUUUUUGUUUUUGUUUUUUGGUACCGGGGAUCGAACUCAGGACCUUGUGCUUCCAAGGCAGGCGGCAGAACCACUGAGCUAAAUCCCCAGCCCAAUUCUCAUCUACUUGUAAUGUACUGAGUUCUUAUCAAGAGGCGAUGUUGAAUUUUUGUAAAAUGCUUUUCUGCAGCUAUUGUAGAAUCAUACUUUUGUUUUUGUUUUUAGUCUGUUGAUUGAAUUUCAAACGUUAAACCACCUUAGUAUGCCUGUAAUAAAGCCCACUUUAUCUCUUA